This 5972-nucleotide long non-coding RNA is filed under the name Coffea arabica (coffee). Its description in RNAcentral is "long non-coding RNA (CARA_LNC000308)". The stretch from base 400 to 482 matches the Rfam family "tRNA". The record is from RNAcentral. Lineage: Eukaryota; Viridiplantae; Streptophyta; Magnoliopsida; Gentianales; Rubiaceae.
AGCAGAGUCGGACUGAUGCUAGGCUUGGUAUGGAGGCGAGAACAGCGGUCGCCGUGACGGCAACUCCGAUCUUGAAGUAAAAAGGGCAGUUCACUCUGUCUUUCUCGGUCCCAAAAAUCGAGGCCAAGUGUUCCGCCAUUCUCCACCACGUCCUCCUCCUCCCGCAGCUGCAAUUGAUGAAUUUACAGCUCAAUAUGAUAAAAGGAUCGAGACAAUUGAAGUUCUAGGUUUGGUACUUCUUGCUUUUCCCUACUUCUCUCUGUUUCGAUAAUGGUACGGUGUAGUUUUUAUUAUUUUAUAUGAGGAGGAAAAUUUUCACCUUCUGGAUGAUUCGACUGGCGCAAGGAUGUCCUUCGAUGGAUUAUAAUAUGAGACGAUAAUUUUAUAAUGAGGAUCACCGGUGGUUUGCCCGAGAGGUUAAGGGGGAAGACUUAAGAUCUUCUGCACAUAAGUGCGCGUGGGUUCGAACCCCACAGCCACCAUUAUUGGAAUUUCAUUUUGCGAAAAAAGGGAACAGAAAAACCGAAAUGAGAAAAUUUGUUGCGUUUGCCGGGAGUCGAACCCGGGUCUAUUGCUUGGAAGGCAAUUAUCCUAACCGUUGGACUACAAACGCUUUUGUUAAUAAUACAAAUCUUGGUGUUAUAUAAGCUAACUUCAAUGGAAAAGAAUUAAGAUUUCAUGGCAAGAAAAAUUAUCAUAAAUAAAUGUGUACCAAACUCAUAAAAUAAAAGCAGUUUCUACAUAUGUAAAAGGAUAUCACAAAGAAUUAUGAUUUUCAAUUUUCUUUUUUUUUCACUUAAUCAAUAACAAUCAAACCACAUUUAAAAAGAAAGAACAAAAACAAAAGACUUGCAUUUUCAUAUUAGAAAAACUGGUUUUACACAUUAACCAUUUUAGAAGGUUUAUAACGAUCAUAUUGCCUAACAAGUAAACUUGGAAUCAAAUAAAUAUAGUGCACUAAGAAAUUUAAGGAUUUUUUCUUUUUUGUCCAAAGAAGAAAUAAUAAUUUACUUAAAAAAUAUGAGUGUAUAUAUAUGUGUGUGUGUGUGUGUGUAUACACACGCAUUUUCUUUUUAAGCUAAAAUGGUUUUGCCUGGGUGAUAUUUCCACACCAAAAGGGAAAUAUAAGAGCAAUUAGUGAAAAGAGUUAAAAAAUAAUUAAUAAAAAAUAAAAUCAAAUACACGCGCUGCUGGCAUCAUUAAGCUAAUCAAGUUCAUUGGAGCUCAGAGGAAGGUUGGAUUAGAUGAUAAGAUUAGAGAGAUUAUAGAUUUUAAAUUCUAUACCUCUCACUUAGACCAAAAAAAAAAAAAAUCAUUGAACCCAAAAAAAAUGAAAUAGAUAAUGAUGCCUAAGGAAGCCCAAAAUGAACGACAGUAUUACCGAUUCGAGUUGAAUUGGCAACGAGAGCAACAGCCCUUGAGGGCUUCGUUGCUAUGAUAAGGCUUCUCCAAGCGGCCCUUGGGUAUGAGUAUUCUCCGCUGCCGUUGCAUAUAAAAUACUAUUCCAGUCUGUGGCCUCGAAAGUUGUUCGAUGUUGAAACUUGAAACCCAUUCCUAGUCCCAAGCUACAGCCUCUCGCCACGAUUGUUCAACAAAACUAGUGUUUGAGCUCGUCACAAAACUUAGAGCCCGUUUGAAUUAUUAUUUUCUCGAGUUGGUGGUUUGACGUGUAUGAGGCGAAAAAAGUGAUCAGAAAAUGUGUUUAUAAAAAAUGUAAAUUAUUUUUUGGAAAAAGAAAUCCAACCAAGGCCUUGAUAGGACCGUAAAUUGGAUGAUCAUCAAGCUUCGUUUUUGGUUUUUGGCCUUUAGAAACUAUAGGUUGUAACUUGAUCUAAGCCCACUAGGCAGAUUUUGUUUCCAACACUUUUGAUCAAAAGGAAUGAACCCCAUGUCUGGAAACCAACUUUGAAGUUUGGUAGGUUGAUUAAGAUGGUAAUUUGAAGCUUGCAAGGGAAUAGGGACAAUAGGUUCAUUCAAUCUACAUAAGCUCCUCGUGUUGAAAGUCUCUUGGCAUCAAAAUCAAGUUGUUGCUCAAGCCGGCUUCUGUGUCAGUCCAAGAAUUUAUAUGUUAUGUCCUAAUUGCAAACUAAUCCGACAUAGUAGUAAGCAUGGGAUUGAAUUUAUACCGUUUUAUCCAAAUUGAGAAGGCCGUCUCGUCUCGAAGUCGAAGAGCUAACACCACUUUCAUCACCUCGGACAAUAGCUAGCUCUUGAUGUGGUGUGGGUUCUUCCAGGAUUCAUAUGAUUUUCUUAAAAUUACUCUGCUUUGUUAAUUCAUGUAUAUAUUGCCCAAAUUUUAAUCGCUGAUAGCUAAUAGUUGGAAAUAUCCUAAACAAUUAAAGCCCUCGGAAACAUGCAAAUUGGCCCUUCUGAGGACCCUGUAAACUUUAGGAAAUGAUAUGCUGAGCAUCCUAAGUAGCCUGCCGACAAUUGAUCAAUUCCUAGAGGUUUGAAUUUAACAGCAUUAGUGCUUUGGUUUUUUUUUCAACAAAAUGUGGCAAGUUAAGUUCACAAAUAACUCGAUAACAAAGCAUGCUGUACUUGUACCCGACGAUAUGUCACUGGUUCGAGUCAUCAAGAGAUUAAGCGAGGAAUCACUGUUGAUUUUCUUUUAAUAAAAGGAGAAAAAAAAGUUCACAGAUAACUUGGUUCGUGAACUGUGGCUGUUGUGUACAUCGGUAAAGAUUUACUUCUGCUACUUCAUAAAUCAUAAGUGGGGAAGUGAGAUAUUUUUCUAAGUAAACAGCCCGAAUAUUCCUUUGUUUGGGUGCCGUACAUCACAGCGAAGAACGACCCCAUUGUACUGGCGGAAUGGGUCUUAAGGACUCUGGUAGUUCCCAAAGUUGAAGGGUGUGGGGAGUAACGGAGCCAGUUUGCCAACCUAUAAGAGGGGGACAAGACUAGUUUCCACUGACAAACGCAAAAACAGAUCCAGCAGAAUGAGAAGACUCCUCACCAAACAGUCCUAAGGUUUAUACUUAUUUGACUUUGGACCACCAAAAAAAGAAUGGUUGGUCCUAUUCUAAACAUGUUCAAGAAAAUUUACACUAUGCCUCUGAUUGUUAUCCCUUUUUCCACUCAUUUAUCUAUUGCAGACCCUUGUUGUGUGUUUUUGUCUAUUGCUGCGUGCGCUACAGAUUUUUCUGGUGUCUGAUGGGAAAAACAUUUAUACACCCACAGCUCUGGUUUUCCAUGUUAAUCUGGAAGUAAAAUUGGACCAAACGGAAUUUGGGGCUUAAAUUGUUCGAAAUGUUGAUGGGGCAAAUUAUAGUUGCGUCUGCAUUACUCAAAUUGAUUUUGCACUUUGGAAAAGAUGUGUAGAAAGAUCUUGUAUAUUAAUGUAAUCACAUUUUGGUGUCAAUUCUUUAUAUCUUGGAAAUUUGGUAGUUGAAAAUUGAAAUUUUGCACACCGCCACAUGCAUCCAAAGAAACACUUGCUAUAGACUCCAUUCAAUUAAACAAGAGCUAUCUAAGGGCAUGGUUCAAUUUUACAAUCUAUCUAUGUCCUUGUCAGGAGGACAGGCAAUCUUUAAGAGCCAGUGGGACAGGUUUGCCAAGGCUGUAGUGGCCAUUUUUAUGUUUAUAUAUAACUGCACAUGCAGGCCUGGAAAAUGGAAACUGAAGAUCCAAUGCCGGUGCUGCCGCCGUGCUGGCCUUCUGCUACAGAAGGUGUAAUCUACCAAUCCCUAAAACACAUGUUUUAUCCUUUUCGUCUUUCUCUACCCCACUCUUUAUCUUUUCUCGUGGAGGGAAGUCAUCAAUCUUGUUUGCCGUUGGGUAGGUUAUCUGAUGAAAGUCCUUAAAAGUUCUUGUAUUAAAGUGCUGGGCAGGUUAUCUGAUGAAAGUCCUUUAAAGUUCUUCUGCUAAGUGUCACUUGCACAAUGGAUAGAAAUUCCACUUUUCCUGCAAUAGCAAAUACAAUUGAUAGGAUGAAUUGGGUUCUUCUAUAAGAGCAAAAUACAACUGUACAGUACUACAAGAGAUGAGUUCGGUAUUGAGCUAUAAAAAACUGGAUAAAUUUUGAUAUUGCAUUCAAGUUUCUUUUACUCCUCCAUGAUUAAAAUGGACCACAUGAACACUAAAACUUCUUCAUGGGUGGUAUUUAAGCCAUUCAUUCUUGUCAUUGGGUCUUGCUACCUACAAAUGUGCCUUUAGUUUGAAUUGAAACAGUUUACAGAACAAGAAACUUGGUUGAGAGACUAAUGUUGGAGAGCUCUAUUAAAAGCUAAUUAAACAUGGAAAGCCCAGACUAAAAUUUCCACUCAUCCAGCCUGUUUUUAAUGCAUAUAUCAAGUCCUACCAGGAGCAUAGAUAUUGGCUGGUAGAUGAUUAUCAAGAAGUGCACUACGAACUUUUCAGAGCAAGUAUCUAGAUAGAUCCCUUCAAUAAUUAUCAAUGUCCGCUCCCAAGUCUAGCUUCCAGAUAUGUAUCAUGCACCGACACACAAUUAUACAAAAUUAUAUAUAUAUGUAGUGGGAAAAGGGCAUAGCUUAAAGCAGCUGCUCCUUGUGCUUUAGCCAGAUUGACACAUUCUGAUUGUUUCUCGGAAUUAGUCAUUCGUUGACACACACAGUACACACACUACCAGGCAGACAGAUAGAUUAUGUGAAGUACUAAUUUCAUGUUUAACAUAAUUUUUGUAACAUUGAUGAAGAUUGUAGAGCUUUGCUGCAGGUGAUACGAGUCUAAACACACUAGCAAAUCUGACUUUAGUUUAUCAGUUAAGUACGUGAAGUUUUCUUCUGUUUUUCCUAAGCUUCAUAGAGAAUCUGUUAUCAAGGGUCCAAGAUUUCUCACUGUGACAUGGGCGUCUUGACCUACAUCUACAUGUGUGUUCCUUACACUUCAAUACGUGCCAUUCUUGAGGAUGAAUGUUAAAAUAUGGUUCGAACAUUUGUCCAAAUGUGCCUUUGGUAUUUUAUGUCCUUCAUGAUACCAGAACAGACGUAAUUGACAAUUAAAAAUGACUGUUUAAAUAUGGUUUAUGAUUUUGGUGCCAAACAAACCUUUGGUAUUUAUGAUGUUCAUAAGACCUAAUUAAACAGCCAUAAUUGACACUGAAAAUUAAACAGCCAUAAGACCUAACAAACCUUUGGCAUUUAUGAUGUUCAUAAGACCUAAUUAAACAGCCAUAAUUGACAUUGAAAAUGGCUCUGCCCUGUACUCAAUCUCAACUGCUUUUCCUUUCUAACUUUGGCCUUUUUUUUUUUUUUUGGAGAAACUACAAGAUACUUGCUUUUGGAUUCUGAUCUUGACUUCUCAAAAAAACUAGUUUUUCAGAAAAUCAGAAUCAGUUCAGAACUAAAAUAUAUAUGGGUCCAUCAAACUUUGGUCCCAAUAAAUGUUUUAUCUUUUUCGCAGGAACUAAAGAGACAUCAUUGACACUUCUGCAACUGGCUAUUACAUGUACAAGGUGAUAACUUAAUUCUAGUUAUGUUUAAGAUGGCUGAAAAAGAAAAUUCAUCCAUAAACAUUAAUGAGAUGAAACCUUCCUUCUCCUUCCAAAUACGAUGGCAAUUAAUUACAUGCAUGAAAUGGGUUGCGGGGGUCACCCGUGUGAGGAGAAGAAAAGGAGAGAAUCACUGAAUCACCACUCCAGCACGCAAGCCAACUUUAGGUUUCAAUGGCCUCUUUACAUAUCAAACUGUAGCCAAUUGCUGGAAUUCCUCCAGCAAAAGUAAAUUUUUUAUAAGAGUUAGUACAUGCUCGAGCUAAGUUUUGCAGGUUUGUAGUGACGAUUGUUGCUGUUCCAUCUAAUGUUGCUCUUUUUGAGGAUAGUUGCUUCAUAAUUAGACUUACACGAAAAGGAUUAAUAUGCAUAUCUUUAAUAUAUAUAUAUAUAUAUAUAUAUAUAUAUAUAUACCAAUCUUCGGCUUAAUUGGAGGAGGAGACAUUUAACCCAAUUUAAUGGUUCAAUUGAUGUAUCAAAUCAGAUAUGACCCCAUGUAACCAAAAUCAGAGAUGAUGGUAAC